Molecule: ribosomal RNA, 326 nt
Filed under: uncultured bacterium
Lineage: Bacteria
Description: bacterial SSU rRNA
Rfam family: Bacterial small subunit ribosomal RNA
Source: RNAcentral
GAUGAACGCGUGGCGGCGUGCCUAACACAUGCAAGUCGAACGGACAUUUUUUGGAAAGCUCUUCGGAACUGGAAUCUAAAUGUUAGUGGCGGACGGGUGAGUAACGCGUGAGCAAUCUGCCUUUCAGAGGGGGAUAACAGCCGGAAACGGCUGCUAAUACCGCAUAAUGCAUCGGAUUCGCAUGUUUCUGACUGCCAAAGAUUUUAUCGCUGAAAGAUGAGCUCGCGUCUGAUUAGCUAGUUGGCGGGGUAACGGCCCACCAAGGCGACGAUCAGUAGCCGGACUGAGAGGUUGAACGGCCACAUUGGGACUGAGACACGGCCCAG